AUAACAUUUGGGCCGCCGGUCUACCGAGCAAUAUUACCCGCUCGGUGGAAGAUCUUCCCUUCGUCAU
RNAcentral lists this microRNA precursor (67 nucleotides) under Bombyx mori (domestic silkworm). RNAcentral's name for it is "mir-2774 microRNA precursor family". It matches the Rfam family "mir-2774 microRNA precursor family". The record is from Rfam by way of RNAcentral. Lineage: Eukaryota; Metazoa; Arthropoda; Insecta; Lepidoptera; Bombycidae.